GCUCUACCCUAAGCAGGCCAAUCUAAUAGCUUCUUUAUCCUAGUGAAAGACGGAGCAGUCCCACCAGCUCUGGUAGCUUCCCUCUGUCCACUCCAGAGAAGACAAAUCCAGGGAGGACACUCAGGAGCUGGUAAUUAGAUCCAGAGGAAAAUGUGAUCACCAGCCAGCCUGCCCAGACAGUGAAUGAUGUAAGCCUUCAACCCUGAUAAUCUCAGUGAGCGUGUAGCUGCCUGCAGCCCACCCACCAGUGAACACUGCUCCCAGGCCAAGGACAGAAGCAUAAUGUUGGUAAACUUGUGGAGAGCAAUGAUAAAGGACAGGCACCUGAGAUGAACCUGUCUGUGGGUGCUGCUGUCCCCACAGCUUCUGGGUGGCCCUCUUCUCUUGGACACAAAGAAAGAAGGGGAUGGAAGACACAGGUAAGCACUGAGUGCUGCACAGGUGAAUGAAUGCCGCACUGCUGAGCACCCACAGGUGCCACCUCCAUCAUUUCCCACGGGACACCAGGAUACGCUCUCCGACUCAAUACUCUGAAGCAAACUUUUUAAGUAACCAACAUCUGAAAGGGAGUCAAAGCCCUGGAAUGGAGGCCUUUUUCUCUUCAUGUGCAGCAAAAUCAUUACUGUGGUUGAACACGCGACACUCCCAGUGGCAGGAGAGGCCGGUAAUUACGGUGGGGCCGAGAGAGCGCUCAGGGUCAGCAAAACAAAGAGGAGGAAAUUGCUGCACAGAUUGGCUCAAAUAUCAGACUCAACGAAGAAGAAAACACAAUUUGUUCAUUUGGAAAAUGACUCCGGUGGCGUGAAUACCCAUGCAUGGUUGGAAUUCAGGGCAUGACAGAGUGACAGACAGCCUAUAGGGUAGGGUGUCUUCUGGGAGAAAAGGCUAUGUGCUACUUUUAGGCCAGAGAUGAAUUUGGUGAGCAGGGCAGAGGACAGCAGAGGGGACCCCUGUUUGUAAGUUAUAAGGCACGCAGGAAUUGCAGCAUUUAU
Molecule: non-coding RNA, 992 nt
Organism: Ictidomys tridecemlineatus (thirteen-lined ground squirrel)
Lineage: Eukaryota; Metazoa; Chordata; Mammalia; Rodentia; Sciuridae
Source: RefSeq, a predicted model, not a curated record